GAAAUGCGAUAAGUAGUGUGAAUUGCAGAAUUCAGUGAAUCAUCGAAUCUUUGAACGCACAUUGCGCCCCUUGGUAUUCCAUGGGGCAUACCUGUUCGAGCGUCAUUUGUACCCUCAAGCUCUGCUUGGUGUUGGGUGUUUGUCCCCGUCUCCGCGCGUGGACUCGCCCCAAAGUGAUUGGCAGCCGGCGUACUGGUCCCGGAGCGCAGCACAUGUCGCGCAAACGAGUGCCUUGGUACGGCGGCGUCCAUAAGCCCCUCUCUCACGCUCUUGACCUCGGAUCAGGUAGGGAUACCCGCUGAACUUAAGC
This 310-nucleotide unclassified non-coding RNA is filed under the name plant metagenome. RNAcentral's name for it is "partial contains 5.8S ribosomal RNA, internal transcribed spacer 2, and large subunit ribosomal RNA". The stretch from base 1 to 105 matches the Rfam family "5.8S ribosomal RNA", at positions 50 to 154 of the family's 154-position model. The record is from RNAcentral.